AUUACAUCCAGUCAACUACAGCGCCAAGUUGAGUUCUUGUCAAUGAAGCUUGAAGCAGUCAAUUCAAGGAUGAACCCCUCCUUUGAGGGAUUUGCUUCUAAAGAUCUUCCAAUGACUAGUUCUUCAAACUCUAACGGCUAUAAAUGGUUAGUUUUCUCUUGAAACUUGUGGAGCACCUAUAAAUACAAAUCAAGCAUGAUCUUGAAGAAACUAAUGGA
Diospyros lotus (date-plum) is the source of this 218-nucleotide long non-coding RNA. RefSeq lists it as uncharacterized. The transcript has 3 exons. Lineage: Eukaryota; Viridiplantae; Streptophyta; Magnoliopsida; Ericales; Ebenaceae. The record is from RefSeq and is a predicted model, not a curated record.